UUCUAAUUUGUACUUUUUUUUAGGAAAAACCUGUUAAAUUAGAGGGAAGAAGAUAGUGGAUAUUCAAUAUUUCUUGGAUUGUGUGAAAAAUCUAAACAACCACGAGCCAAAGUUGGGGUGCACCUUAAGCAACAUGAAUGUCAUAAAAGAAGUUAGAAAUGGAUAUGUGUCAAUAUUUAAGGUCAAGUGUGAUAUGUGUAGAGGAACAUACGAUCUGCAAACGACAGCCACAAACCCGAAUCAAGAUGCUGUUCUGGGGGUGAUAAUGAUAGGGGCAGGUCACAGUGCUCUAGCGCAGCUUUCAACAUGCUUAGAAACUCCCUUUUCCAUCUCAACGGACAUAUCUAAUUCAGGAAGAUAUUCUUGGAGAAACUUUUGAAACAAUUUCUUUGAAAUCUAUGAGACGAGCUGGUGAGAUAGAAAAGAAUUUAGCUAUAGAAGCAGGUGAUCUCUCACUUGAUGGGGUUCCUAUAAUUACUGUCGUAGCGGAUGGGUCUUGAGCCAAAAGAUCAUAUAGAUCCAAUUACAAUUCUCUUUCAGGAGCUGCAGCAAUUAUAGGCUGUAGAACUAAACAGGUCCUUUUUAUUGGCAUAAAAAACAAAUAUUGUACAAUUUGCCAACUCUCAAAAAAUCAAGGACACAAUCAAAUGCCUAAAAGGCAUAAAUGCUUUAAAAACUUUGAAGGUUCUUCAACGAGCAUGGAAGGCGAUAUUUUAAAAGAAGGAUUUCUCCAUAGUUUAGAGCAACAUGGAUUAAUCUACCAUAAAUUAAUAGCUGACGGAGACAGCAAUUCUCUGAAAAAAAAUUUAGAUGCUCAUCCAUAUAAAAAUGACAUUGUGAAAAAAAAUUAGUGCAGAAAUUACCUUCUACGAAAUUACUCCCGGAAAAUUCGAGAUUUAGGUAAAGACGUCAAUGCUGGGCCAUUAGUUCUUCGGAAGCAAAUAAGCGUAAGUACUUACUAUUCGUAGAAAAAUUAUUUUAGGAAAAAUACUUAUGUUUCUGGUAAAGAAAAACAUAUUUGUAAAUUUAUAACGUUGUUUUUUUUUUGUAGAAAGAACAGCUAAGAUUACGAUAUGCAGUUACAAAAGUUAUCGAACAUAGAAAAAAUGAGGGUGUUCCGAUGUAAGAAAAAAUAAAGUUGUUAAAACAAGACAUAGACAAUUCUAUUAGCCGCGUUUUUGGAGAACACAAACUUUGUGCAGAAUUGGGAUAUUUCUGUCAUGAGCAAUAUAAACCCAGUGGUAGCAUAUUAUCAGACUUAAAAAUUACAGGCCGAUACGACAAAUUAUAUAGCUUUGUCAGCUAUCUUUCAAGAAAUAGCGUGAGUUUAAUACAAGAUGUUGACAAUAAUGUAUCGGAGCAAUUUAACUCAAUCAUUGCAAAAUUUAUUGGCGGAAAACGCAUUAAUUAUUGCCAACGAGGAUCAUAUCAGGCUCGCUGUUAAGCUUCUGUAAUUUCUCAUAAUACUAAAAAGCCUAUAUACACGAUUAAAAAAUUCCUUAAUCAUAAAAGCUCGAUUGGCUUAGUUAAAUACAGGGAAUUAAAGAAAAAAUAUAUUAAACGGAAAAGAUUAUUCCAAACCAAAGAGAAGUCUGGACUUGAUAGCAGUUACGGUGAUCAAUGUCAAAAGCCUGAUCUAACACCUGAGGAGUUGCAAAAAGAAAAAGAAGAUUUUCUAGCUAGUAUUAAAAAAAAUGCAGAAGAAAUCAAAUUAAUUGAAGAGCUCACAAAGGAACAGAGCCAAUCUGAUUUGUGGCACUUAGAGCGAAGAAAGCGUCUUACGGCAUCAAAUUACUACGCAAUUUGCUCUAAAUUUAGUGCCAGAAGCAACGGCGAUACAAAAAAGCUCGUGGAACAACUUCUGUACCCAAAAACAAUUAAUUCUGCUAGCAUUGAGUGGGGCAAACAAAAUGAAAAACAGGCAAUCAAUGUUAUAGAAACAUUAAUUGAUGAGAAGAUAUUACCAUGUGGCUUAUUUGUAAGCGAAAAUAUUUCAUUCUUGGCAGCGACUCCCGAUGGCCUUAUUGGGAAGAAGGGGAUUGUUGAAAUCAAAUGCCCCUUUAGUGCUAAAAAUCUCACCCCUGAAGAUGCGAUAAUGCAAAGAAAAAUAUCAUUUUGGAAGAAAAACGGAGAAAUUAAUAAGAACCACAAAUGGUUUUACCAAAUACAAGGCCAAUUGUUGGUAACUGGGAGAUCCUACUGCUGCUUUGCAGUUUGGACACCUUUGGGCAUUAAGAAGGAAAUUAUUUUAAAAAACGACGUAUUCUGCGAAAAUAUGAAAAAGAAAUUAACUAUAUUCUAUUCGAUAUGUUAUUUACCUGAUCUUGUAGAUCCCCGCAAAAAUAGAAAUAUGCAUGUUAGAAAUAUUUCCCUAAAAGAAUAUACGAUUGUAUAAGUUUUUUUAUA
This is a long non-coding RNA of Anthonomus grandis grandis, 2406 nucleotides long. RefSeq lists it as uncharacterized. The record is from RefSeq and is a predicted model, not a curated record. The transcript is spliced from 3 exons. NCBI's taxonomy places the organism in Eukaryota, Metazoa, Arthropoda, Insecta, Coleoptera, Curculionidae.